This 331-nucleotide ribosomal RNA is filed under the name uncultured bacterium. RNAcentral describes it as "partial 16S ribosomal RNA". It matches the Rfam family "Bacterial small subunit ribosomal RNA", at positions 338 to 667 of the family's 1533-position model. The record is from RNAcentral.
CCUACGGGUGGCAGCAGUGAGGCAUAUUGGUCAAUGGGCGGGAGCCUGAACCAGCCAAGCCGCGUGAAGGAAGAAGGCGCCAAGCGUCGUACACUUCUUUUGUCGGGGAACACAGGGCGCCACGUGUGGCGUGGUGAGAGUACCCGAAGAAAAAGCAUCGGCAAACCCCGUGCCAGCAGCCGCGGUAAUACGGAGGAUGCGAGCGUUAUCCGGAUUUAUGGGGUUUAAAGGGUGCGUAGGCGGUCCGGAGAGUCAGCGGUAAAAGCCCGGGGCUCAACCCCGGCGAGCCGUUGAAACUGUCGGACUAGAGACGGCGAGAGGUAAGCGGAAU